GCCAGAUUUCUUGGUGGAUGAGCGGAGGCUGCGUACAGCUGCAGUGGCGACUGCAGAUCAGAUGGUACCGAUGGAGGGGCAGAGGUGUUUUGUCUGUCCUGGCUGGAGCUGCUCUUUUCUUCCCAGCAGUUGCUCCUGGCAUUUUCUAGUUGGCCAGUGGCCUGAGGUCUCAGCUGUCCACUGUAAUUCUCACCUGCAGAGCCUGGUGCCCAUGCAGCAGUGCCAGGCUUGGAAGGUCUCCAAAGGAGCAGAGCCCUGAGGUCCUGCAGCUGGGGACCAUGCACUAAGAGCCUUGGGGAACAACUCUGCCAGCUGGGGACCUUGGGAAACCUCCCCAGCUAAAUAUCACUGCUGUCCUGCAUCUGUUAUGUUUUCUAGGGUGAAAACAUCUUGAUAUUUCCUAGUUAAGGAGCCCUGACACAAGUGAAAUGACCAGACAUGUGAAUAGGAAACAUGGUGAUUAAGUACCUGAGAGAUGAAGAAUGCAAAGGAAAAGGCAUUCUGCAGCCAGAAAAAAUGAACUGUGUGAUUUCCCCCAGCACCUUGGGGGAGCGGGGAAGGGCUGGACCUCUCCUAACUCUGGCCAAUUCAGGCACUUUGUGCAUGAAAACUGCAGCUAACUGAAUUCCAAGCUGGGGGGAAAAAAAUUCCUUCUGUAAAUGAGAGAGAAGAAAUUUUCAUGGGUUCUGCAUACGCGCUCGUGAGCUUCAGGGGCUGGAGCCGAUGGGAAGGAGAAAGCCCCAUAGUCCUCCCUUCUGCUCAGUGCUGGCUGUGCCCCAUCUCGCUGUGCAGCCCCUCAGCCCUGCGGAGGGAUGCUCCUCCACCCCAUCGGGCAGCCACGGGCUCCUCAGGGCUCCCAUGGCCACCGUCACAGUCCCGGGAGACCUUCACCACUGACAGCUCCUCACAACCCUGCCGUCUUUGGGAAACACCCACUUUCCUCGCUCGUGUUCCAAGAAGCGUAGGUAAGAAACAUAUAUCCAUUAUCCUCUCAUUCGUUAUUUGCCUGAUAAAAUGUAAUGUUUGCUUAGCUAAUGUGCUUGAGACAAGGUAUGUUAUAAAAUACACACUCUGUCGAACACGGCAAAAUGGGCCAGUUUUCACAGUACUUAAAAUCUAUGGCGUGAGGCAAAUCCCAUCUAGAAGAAAGAUGCCUCGCUGAACCGCUUGUGUCAGCCCACAGCCUCCAGCCACAUCAGACGAGCCAGGCGGUCCUGGGUUGUUUAUGGAGCAUUUGCAACAGAAAGGUGAAAUAAAACCUUGGCGAAGGGUUUCUUUUUUCCCCUGGACAAGACGGGGUGGCUGGCAGGGGCAGGGGGCCAGUCCCUGGGGCUGGGUGUGUUGGGGGUCUGCUGCCUGCUGGGUGGCCUGUCCCUCGCACUGGCUUUGGAGGCUGCUUGUGGUGCAGCUCAUGGUGGCCUGCCCAGGUCCCAUGGCUGGUGGGAGGGGGCUGAGGUCUGCUCGCCCUGGGCUUUGAUCUUCCCGUGAGGCCAUAAUACAAUCUAACCUAAAAUGAGAUCCAGACUUCAAGACCUCUGGGUGCUCUUUUAGCUCCCAAAUCUUCCCUGUCCAGCAGUAAGGACCUGCUCCUACCCGAGCCAUUUCCCACCCCGUUUCCUGGUGCCCUUGCAAGGCAGCCAAGGAAAGCACCCCGGGGCCAGCACAUCCCCCAGGGGACAAGCACAGCACAGGGGGGGCUCAAGCGCAAACCUGAGCAGGUACUUCUCAUGGAGGUCAUGCAAGGUUUGUGGGGCUCCUUCAUCUUUAUAACAGCAGCAGGGACUGGGAUGACACCACCUGGAAGGGUCCCCAGCUCUCCCCUGGCUCUCUGCAGGGGCAGAGAAGCAAUAUCAGCUUUUCUCCUCCUGGUACUCUCCGCUUCAUGUGUUUCUGCAGGGAAGGAUGGGGCUGGGUGAGGCUGUGCUCCGGCCAUGGCCAGGGGAUGGAGGCAGCUGCAGUGGUGCCCGAGACGAUCAUGGAAUCACAGAAUGGUUUGGGUUGGAAGGGACUUUUAAAGGCCAUCUAGUCCAACCCCCCUGCACUGAGCAGGGACACCUUUAAUUAGAUCAGGUUGCUCAGAGCCCCGUCCAACCUGAUCUUGAAUGUUUCCAGGGAUGGGAAUCCAUCUUGGGAAUUCCAGGACAGGAUCCCAGCUAGAGGUACCGUGUUACCCUGGGACUUUGAGCUUUUUCCAGAAAUCCCUUGGUUUUGCCUGCCCUGCGGGGCUGCGGUGACUCGCGGUUUGCCCUGCCCCACAGCCCCUGAAGCGGCUGGGGAGGAGGAAGUCUCUGGGAAGGCAGAGUGUUCGUGAUGAAAGGGAGAACCAGAAAACAAGGUGUUUGCUGCAUGAAAGGGGCCCAUUCUCGUGGAUGAAAGGGAAAGACACGUACGCACGUCUUUGGACUCCACAGCAUCUCCCAAAGCUCUGGUUUUAUGCUCCUUUAUCCUUCAACUUCUUCCUUAAUGAGAAAUUAAUUAGCCUUGUAGUUCCUGCCUAGGAACUUGUAAACAUGCAGCAGUGGUGCCCGUCAUUCCUCCUGCCCCGUCCCAUCCCACCCCCCUUCCCUGCGGUGUAGUCCAAGAUAUCUGACAAAAACACUCGAGAACAAAGCUGCCUGGCUAAUUCAGGGAAUUAUCAGGAAGCCUGUAGCAGAGCUGAGAUAAUAGGCCUUAAAUAGCAGCCUGAUUGCGCUUCCUCCAGAGGCUUCCACGGCUCCCUCCCACCCUGGGGUGAGAGGCGAGGGGCUCCGGGCCACCGGGACCCCUGGCGCUGGGACCUGGCUGAGGUGGGGUGGGCGCACCGGCUCUUUUACAGCCUCCUGGUGAUGCCCUGUGGUGGAGAGUGGGCCAAGCCAUGCUCAGGGGCUCUGAGCCCACCUCCCUGCCCUGGGACGUCGCCGGUGGGGAUGCCGGCGUGGGGGGAGAGUGCUGCUGGCUCCUUGCUUUGCAUUUGGGGGAAAACUAAAAAGGAAAACCAGUGCUCGUUGGGGUGGCUCAGAGGUCUGUGCUGUGACGUCCGUCAUCUGGGGCAUGCGGGCCACGGUGCAGGGAUGGUAAAAGAGGUAGAAACAGGGCUGAGAAGAGAGGGCUCAGCCCAGUGAAUCACAUCGCCCCAGGACACGCACCGGCCCGCGGGCUGUGGCACAGAGGGGGGAAAAAUCAUUUGUGACGGGACGUAAUUUUUUUUUCAUUAAAAGAGUAUUUUUUCAUAAUGGAGACCUUUAAUUGGCAGAAAAAUCAUGUCGUUAAUUGUUGCAACCAAAGGGGCAAAUUCAAAAUCCUGCAGACAAGGAGUGCAUUGAGGAGCAGGGCGGUGGAGCGUGUGUAGCGUGUGAACCCGGGCACGGGGCAGCGAUGGGGCACGUUCCCGCUCGUGCUGCGCCAGCGCAGACAGACCAGCACCGCAGGCUGACCCUGGCCCAAAGGAGGCUGCUGGUUUGGUCUGCUCCAGCAAAACCUGCCUGCUCCCCGCUGAAAUCUCUAUUUAUGCCCCAUUUCUGGCGUGGCUGGUGCUGUGUCAAGGGACUGCUUUGUAGCCUUAAUGCUCAGAAGCCAAACUUUACUGCUGACACAUUUUUUCCCCGGCGCGGUUAGUUAACAACACAGGAGUUUCCUACCCCGGAGGACAGGCUGUUUCCACAGCAAGGAGGU
Molecule: non-coding RNA, 3651 nt
Organism: Phalacrocorax carbo (great cormorant)
Lineage: Eukaryota; Metazoa; Chordata; Aves; Suliformes; Phalacrocoracidae
Source: RefSeq, a predicted model, not a curated record